Molecule: ribosomal RNA, 462 nt
Filed under: uncultured Planctomycetaceae bacterium
Lineage: Bacteria; Pseudomonadati; Planctomycetota; Planctomycetia; Planctomycetales; Planctomycetaceae
Description: partial 16S ribosomal RNA
Source: RNAcentral
GACUACUGGGGUAUCUAAUCCCGUUUGCUCCCCUGGCUUUCGUGCCUCAGCGUCAGACAAGGUCCAGUGUGCCGCUUUCGCCACCGGCGUUCCUUCCAAUAUCAACACAUUUCACCGCUCCACUGGAAGUUCCGCACACCCCUACCUCACUCUAGCCUCGCAGUUUAGGACGCAAUUCCCCGGUUGAGCCGAGGGCUUUCACACCCUACUUACGAAACCGCCUACGCACUCUUCAAGCCCAGUGAUUCCGAAUAACGUUUGCACAGUUCGUCUUACCGCGGCUGCUGGCACGAACUUAGCCCGUGCUUCCUCUGAGGCUAUGUCAAACCGGAAAGAUAGCUUUCCAGCACUUCAUCCCCUCUGACAGUGGUUUACAACCCAAGGGCCUUCAUCCCACACGCGGCGUCGCUCGGUCAGGGUUUCCCCCAUUGCCGAAGAUUCUCGACUGCAGCCCCCCGUAGG